RNAcentral lists this ribosomal RNA (325 nucleotides) under Alkalibacterium subtropicum. RNAcentral's name for it is "bacterial SSU rRNA". It matches the Rfam family "Bacterial small subunit ribosomal RNA", at positions 1 to 312 of the family's 1533-position model. Lineage: Bacteria; Bacillati; Bacillota; Bacilli; Lactobacillales; Carnobacteriaceae. The record is from RNAcentral.
AUCAAACUGAGAGUUUGAUCCUGGCUCAGGACGAACGCUGGCGGCAUGCCUAAUACAUGCAAGUCGAACGAUGAAGCACUCUGCUUGCAGAGUGCGGAAGAGUGGCGAACGGGUGAGUAACACGUGGGGAACCUGCCCAUAAGAGGGGGAUAACAUCCGGAAACGGAUGCUAAUACCGCAUAGGUGAUCAGAGCGCAUGCUUCGAUCAUUAAAGAUGGCUUCGGCUAUCGCUUAUGGAUGGCCCCGCGGCGUAUUAGCUAGUUGGUAAGGUAAUGGCUUACCAAGGCAGUGAUACGUAGCCGACCUGAGAGGGUGAUCGGCCACA